CUACGGGGCGCAGCAGUGAGGAAUAUUGCACAAUGGGGGGAACCCUGAUGCAGCAACGCCGCGUGGAGGAUGACGCAUUUCGGUGUGUAAACUCCUUUUAUAUGUCAAGAAAAUGACGGUAGCAUAUGAAUAAGCACCGGCUAACUCCGUGCCAGCAGCCGCGGUAAUACGGAGGGUGCAAGCGUUACUCGGAAUCACUGGGCGUAAAGGACGCGUAGGCGGGUUGGAAAGUCAGGUGUGAAAUCCUACAGCUUAACUGUAGAACUGCACUUGAAACUUCUAGUCUAGAGUAUGGGAGGGGGAGAUGGAAUUAGUGGUGUAGGGGUAAAAUCCGUAGAUAUCACUAGGAAUACCUAAAGCGAAGGCGAUCUCCUGGAACAUUACUGACGCUAAGGCGUGAAAGCGUGGGGAGCAGACAGGAUUAGAUACCCCCGUAGUC
RNAcentral lists this ribosomal RNA (439 nucleotides) under uncultured bacterium. Its description in RNAcentral is "partial 16S ribosomal RNA". It matches the Rfam family "Bacterial small subunit ribosomal RNA", at positions 339 to 795 of the family's 1533-position model. The record is from RNAcentral.